GGACCCGCACAAGCGGUGGAUGAUGUGGAUUAAUUCGAUGCAACGCGAAAAACCUUACCUACGUUUGACAUGCCAGGAAGGCCGGAGAGAUCUGGUUGUGCCCGAAAGGGAACCUGGACACAGGUGCUGCAUGGCUGUCGUCAGCUCGUGUCGUGAGAUGUUGGGUUAAGUCCCGCAACGAGCGCAACCCUUAUCAUUAGUUGCUACGCAAGGGCACUCUAAUGAGACUGCCGGUGACAAACCGGAGGAAGGUGGGGAUGACGUCAAGUCCUCAUGGCCCUUAUACGUAGGGCUUCACACGUCAUACAAUGGUCGGUACAGAGGGCUGCCAACCCGCGAGGGGGAGCCAAUCCCAGAAAACCGAUCGUAGUCCGGAUUGCACUCUGCAACUCGAGUGCAUGAAGUCGGAAUCGCUAGUAAUCGCGGAUCAGCAUGUCGCGGUGAAUACGUUCCCGGGUCUU
This 461-nucleotide ribosomal RNA is filed under the name uncultured bacterium. RNAcentral describes it as "bacterial SSU rRNA". It matches the Rfam family "Bacterial small subunit ribosomal RNA", at positions 917 to 1382 of the family's 1533-position model. The record is from RNAcentral.